This 2146-nucleotide long non-coding RNA is filed under the name Homo sapiens (human). RNAcentral's name for it is "HSALNT0350930". The record is from RNAcentral. Lineage: Eukaryota; Metazoa; Chordata; Mammalia; Primates; Hominidae.
GUGGAGCUUCCCAGAGAAUACAAAAAUUCGGAAUUUCUAUUGGUCCGCUGCUGUUAUGCCUCCUCUUGAGGCGCGAGGAUUUUGGCCCUUGCAAGAAUCCGUCGGGCGGAGGACGCGACAACGGCCACGGGAAAUGACGUCAUUAACCCUGUGGCUUCCGUGCUGGAAAGAGAGGGAGAGCUCUUGCGAGGCAGAACAGGCUGCUGAAGGACAGACCUGGCUGGCGCGGUUAAUAAGAGGCCUGCAUCCCGUAGCCUGAACAAAUAUUGAAGUAGCUAAAGUUUCUAAAGUGUGUUAAUUUGCAUACUUCCUCAGCAGUCCAGCGUGGAGGAUAAAAGGGGUAUCUUGAAAUAGGGCCAUUUCAGGAGUGCUGCAUUUGUUCCUGUUGCUGGAAGACUCUACAUUUAGAGGAAGCAGCAGUUAGAUUGGCCUUGGCAAAUCAAAGUUGUAGUUUACUGAGAUAAUAUGCAAAUGAGAUCAUGGAACUGCUGCUAGUGGGACUUUUUUAAUCUCAUGGGUAACAAGAGACUGCAAGCAAGAACUUCACAUCCUUUACAUUUUCUAAGAUGGGAAGAAAAUAAACUCUACAAACUGCAUAUUGGGGAACUCAGUCUUCGUUCCCAAGAAUGUACGAACCUGGAAAGAGACGCUGAUCCCAGUAGGUGGCGCCAGCAAGCAGUCACCAAGGACAAGUCCCAGCACAGUCACUCCACUCUUUUUCUGGAGCUUACUAGACUGGAGUGGCGUAUUAAGAGGAUGUGUGAGUCCCCUGAAAGGUGUCUGAGGAUCUUGCUAAUGGUAUACUUUCUCACAAGUGAAGAGAUGUAUGCUAAGCACAAAUUAGGUGAAUUCAGAACAUUUAAAAAUAAAUAAUCAGCCAUUCUCGUAUCUUAUUAGUUUGUAAGAUCUGCCAUCUUCUCCUUUUUUCUGUGGGAAACCAGUCUUCUAGACUCACACUGGCAUAUGAACUUGUUUUCAUCAAAUGAGUUAAUAGGAAUGGGAGAGUUGAUUUAGGAAAUUUUGGGCUACAUUGAGGGAAGAAGUUGAAUGUCUUGAAUCAAAGAGAUGAUGCAUUUACUCUCUUUUGGGUGAGGCAAACCAACCUGGAAAGUUGUACUCUGUUUGGAAAAUCACAUUUUAAAAUUAGAUACAGACAAAUUGGAACACCUCAAGCAGAGAGUUAAGGAUGCUGACGAUUCAGGAUAUGUAUAGGAAAUAGUACAAAGGAUUUGAGAUGUUUCAACGUGAGAAGGAGCGUGGGUCAUGACAGGGAGGGGGAUAAAGCGUGUUGCUCACAGGUUGGGGCUGACACAUAGAAGACUGUACAAUUUAGACAGUAAGUGCAGUCACUAGUCUAAGACCACAAACGAAGGGGAAAUAAUUAGGUUCAACAGCAGAAGAGCAUUCAGUCACAAAUGUUCUAAGAGGAAGAUAUGUUAGCAUCUCUAGUAGUGAGUUCUAAUUCAUCAGAAGUAUGCAAGCAUAGGCAAGCCCCAGUUACACCUUUUAUGGAUUUGGGGAAGAAGAUUCAAGUAUUGGAUUAGUGGUAGGUAAGGUCAAAGUUUCUCAUACACCAACUAGUCUAGGGAUUGAUGGUAGUUUAUUCAAAAAUUUUUACUGGCUGGUGCGGUGACCCACGCCUGUAAUCCCAGCAAUUUGGGAGGCCAAGGUGGGUGGAUCACCCGAGGUCAGUAGUUAAAGACCAGCCUGACCAACAUGGUGAAACCCCAUCUCUACUAAAAAUACAAAAAAUUAGCUGGGCGUGGUGGUGGGAGCCUGCAAUCCCAGCUACUCGGGAGGCUGAGGCAGGAGAAUUGCUUGAACCCGGGAGGUAGAGGUUGCAGUUGGCCAAGAUCGCACCAUUGCACUCCAGCCUGGGCGACAACAGCAAAACUCCGUCUCAAAAAAAAAAAAAAAAAACACCUUUUUUUUUUUUUUUUACUAUGUUCCUGGAAAGAAAUAGGCAGCAUGGUUCACAAAUCUAAAUUUAUUCAAUGUAAAGGGCUAUCAUUUAUUCUAAAAUUAUUUACUUCUUACUUUGUGAGGGUGACACGCCUUUUCUUUGUAUGAAAUAAUUGUUGGUGAUAGAUUGUAGUAUGUUUGUAAAUAUACCUUACCUGUUGGAAUAAAGUUUGGAAAUACUCUA